GAUGAACGCUGGCGGCGUGCCUAAUACAUGCAAGUCGAGCGAACGGACGAGAAGCUUGCUUCUCUGACGUUAGCGGCGGACGGGUGAGUAACACGUGGAUAACCUACCUAUAAGACUGGGAUAACUUCGGGAAACCGGAGCUAAUACCGGAUGAUAUUUUGAACCGCAUGGUUCAAAAGUGAAAGACGGUCUUGCUGUCACUUAUAGAUGGAUCCGCGCUGCAUUAGCUAGUUGGUAAGGUAACGGCUUACCAAGGCAACGAUGCAUAGCCGACCUGAGAGGGGUACGGGCCAACCUGGAACUGACCCCCGUUCAAGCACCCGAGGGGGGGCAGGCGUGGGGAGUUUUCCGGAAGGGGGGAAAGCCUGACGAGGCCACCCGAGGUGGUUAAUGAAGGUUUUCGGACGUUAAACCCCUUUUUUUAGGGAAAAAAAAAGUUUUAAGAAACUUUGCAGAUUUGGGGGGUCCCAAAACAGAAAGCCCCGGUGAACUGCGU
This 496-nucleotide ribosomal RNA is filed under the name uncultured bacterium. Its description in RNAcentral is "partial 16S ribosomal RNA". It matches the Rfam family "Bacterial small subunit ribosomal RNA", at positions 28 to 506 of the family's 1533-position model. The record is from RNAcentral.